GUGCUUGCUUCGGCAGCACAUAUACUAAAAUUGGAACAAUACAGAGAAGAUUAGCAAGGAUGACACACAAAUUCGUG
Molecule: small nuclear RNA, 77 nt
Filed under: Mesocricetus auratus (golden hamster)
Lineage: Eukaryota; Metazoa; Chordata; Mammalia; Rodentia; Cricetidae
Source: RNAcentral